RNAcentral lists this ribosomal RNA (406 nucleotides) under uncultured bacterium. RNAcentral's name for it is "partial 16S ribosomal RNA". It matches the Rfam family "Bacterial small subunit ribosomal RNA", at positions 30 to 526 of the family's 1533-position model. The record is from RNAcentral.
AUUGAACGCUGGCGGCAGGCCUAACACAUGCAAGUCGACCGGGUGGCGGACGGGUGAGUCAUGUCUGGAAAACUGCCUGAUGGAGGGGGAUAACUACGGGAACCGGUAGCUAAUACCGCAUAACAUGGGCUGUGCCCAGGUGGGAUUAGCUAGUAGGUGGGUUAAAGGCUCACCUAGGCGACGAUGCCUAGCUGGUCUGAGAGGAUGACCAGCCACACUGGAACUGAGACACGGUCCAGACUCCUACGGGAGGCAGCAGUGGGGAAUAUUGCACAAUGGGCGAAAGCCUGAUGCAGCCAUGCCGCGUGUAUGAAGAAGGCCUUCGGGUUGUAAAGUACUUUCAGCGGGGAGGCGUUACCUGCAGAAGAAGCACCGGCUAACUCCGUGCCAGCCGCCGCGGUAAUAC